AACGAACGCUGGCGGCAGGCUUAACACAUGCAAGUCGAACGCAUCCUUCGGGGUGAGUGGCAGACGGGUGAGUAACGCGUGGGAAUCUACCUCUUGCUACGGGAUAGCUCCGGGAAACUGGAAUUAAUACCGUAUGUGCCCUUCGGGGGAAAGAUUUAUCGGCAAGGGAUGAGCCCGCGUUGGAUUAGCUAGUUGGUGGGGUAAAGGCCUACCAAGGCGACGAUCCAUAGCUGGUCUGAGAGGAUGAUCAGCCACAUUGGGACUGAGACACGGCCCAA
Molecule: ribosomal RNA, 278 nt
Filed under: uncultured bacterium
Lineage: Bacteria
Description: partial 16S ribosomal RNA
Rfam family: Bacterial small subunit ribosomal RNA
Source: RNAcentral